Molecule: non-coding RNA, 83 nt
Organism: Actinomadura sp.
Lineage: Bacteria; Bacillati; Actinomycetota; Actinomycetes; Streptosporangiales; Thermomonosporaceae
Source: Rfam
GGAGGGUUGGCCGAGCGGAAAGGCACCGGCUUGCUAAGCCGUGGUCAGGGUCACCUGCGCGAGUUCGAAUCCCGCACCCUCCG